Non-coding RNA from Xyrichtys novacula (pearly razorfish), 8511 nucleotides. The record is from the annotation of a GenBank genome assembly. NCBI's taxonomy places the organism in Eukaryota, Metazoa, Chordata, Actinopteri, Labriformes, Labridae.
UCUGCACCGUUUCCCUGCGCACAGCUCUCUGCUCAUCACUCAUCCAAACACAAACUUUCCGCAGUUUAGUGACUCUUUUCUUUAUCUGACAAAAUGCCUCUUAAGUUUGAGCUUUGCCCCGGCAGGAAGAUCGGAGGGGACCAGCCCUGCUUCAUCAUUGCUGAAAUUGGGAUAAACCACCAGGGAGACGUCGAGAUUGCCAAGCAAAUGAUCAAAAGGGCAAAGGUAAUUAAAUCAGCUCUUAGAGGUUUAUUUUUAAUGAAGACAUCACUACUUUUUUUCAUGCUCAUUUAAGUGAGUCAUUAAAGCUUAAAAUGAUGUUUUUUUUCUUCAAUUGAAAUAUUUGAAUAAAUAGGAGCAGAAAUAAUCGAGCUAAAAUGGAAAAAAUUUUAACUUUGUAAACAUUUAAGUGGUUUUUGAUAAACUUUGUGUGAAUUUCUGAAUGUAUGCACUGUUUUAUAAAUAAACACAAACAUUUUUCUGUACAUAUAUAAUCUAAAAUGAAUUUUUAUCACAACAAAUAUGAAUCAUUACUUUAAAUUUUGUGUUUUACUUUACAAAGCUGCUAGAUUUCUUUUUUUCCCCUCAUCAUAAAAUCAGAUUAUUGAGAAUAUUUCAGACUAAAGUGAGUUAAAUCAUGUUAGAGAUAACUUGUGUGUCAAUCUUGCUUUCAUAUAUUCUUCUUAUAUAUUUUUAAAAAUAUUUUAAAUAUAAAUUCCAGACAUUUAUUGGUCCAGUGCUCGGUUUGGGAGUGUGAGAUGUGAUACCUGAUGGCUCACAGGUGAAGAGUGUCACCUGGGAAGAGCUUGAAUUUAUCUAUUUAUUUAUUUAAUGUUUCUUUGUAUAGGGGCAAGUAUGAAGCAGGUAAACCAUUGCCACAUACUACUGCAUUUAUAGCUGAAGCUCAUUUGUAAUGCCCGUCCCUAACUAAAAUUCCCAAACAAACACAAACAGUCGCAAUGUUAAAAUUGCAUCAAAUUCACUUAAAACAAGCUAAAUAUUACAAAGACAAAACACAGAGAUAGAAGAUAUAAAAUCUCACAGAAAGAGGAGAAAGACUCUUUUUUUCUGUUAAUAUUAGUACCAAAUGUAUGAGGAAGUAUCAGUGAGGGUCAAAUAAACCCGUUUAAUAUCAAACAUUUACAGAAAAUAUCUGGUUUCAUCUGGGCGAGGAGAGAUACCUGAGCAGAGCGUGCAGGAGAGGCUGUCAACACCUUCAUCCAAACACAAUAACCCGUUGACAUUUAUGGUUUCUCAUGCACCUCAUAAUUUGGUGGUUUCCAUAUUUUAAGGAUUGUAGUGCAUGCGUUAAAAUAUGAUAAUUGACACUUUGCACUGAUCUAGACAGUUGCUGUAUGAUGAGAUAAUGAGACAGACAAGCGAAAAGGUCACACCACAACAACUGGCAGUCUCACACAGUCGGACUGAGGCAGUGAAUCGAGUUUUUUAACAUACCACGUCAUGUUUGUGAAAAAAUUAUAAGAUUCAGCCUCGAGUGUGGAAAGGAGUCACGAAGACCACUGAUGAUGAUUUUUUUUUUUGCAUUAACCGAAAACAAGAAUCCAGCCAAAGAAUAAGUCAAAAUAACACUGAUGAUCGAACAUCAUUUUGAGUCAUUUUCCAUUUAGUAUUUACGCCCCACAAAAAUGGAACACCCUGCCUGACACACUUAGACAUCAGUAGCCAUCUUUAAAAACAGAUUAAAAAACUCUUUUCUAUAGCAUUCAGUUGAAUUGAAUUGAAUUGAACUGGUCUGCAACCUGUAAUAAGUAUUUUCUUUUUUUUUUUUUUUUUUUUUUUUUUUUAAAGGUACAGUGCAUCGUAGUCGGUGGCAUGCAGUUUUAACAGUAAAAGAAUUAGAAUUUUUAUUUUAUUUUAUUUUUUUUUAUGGAAAACAUGAAUUUUUUGUCCUUAAAAGCCACCGUUACAGGAGGGGACAGCCGGGGAGCAUUUUGAUCUAGAAUCCGACAGAUAGAUGUCACUAAUUAUUCUCAAACACCAGUUUUGUCCCUGCAGUAGGUUUUCAUUUUGCUUGUUACAGAUGAAUGAUUUUCUGGAUACUUUCUGCUUAAAGGGUUGAAUGCCUCAUAAACUGCUCUGCAGAACAGGUUCUGCCAGUGUUGUAUGUUUUUAUUAAAAUCACUGCCUCUGUCAAUAAACAAUAGCUGAUUCACUCACACUUAUGCUAACAGCCCUGAGCAGUUAGUGAGAAAUAUUUGACCAUUUCCUGGUGCAGGUUACUGUGAAAUAAACAAUCUUAACAAAAUCUUCAGCGAAUAAGACAAUGUCACCCGUGGAUGAUCUAAGAAUACCAUACCAUGCAAAGUCUGCCAUAAUUACUAUCUUAUGAUAAUCAAAGAUUAAAUCGGUCUGUGGCUCAACAUACAAACUGUGCUUUUACACACAGUUGGCUUCCUCUUAUCUAUUCAUUUAUUCAAGAGGAAACUGCAAAACUGGAGCAAACUGCAAGAUGGGGUUUUUUUUUUGCUCCAGAUUUCAUCACCGCAAUUUCCUACGGGGGCCAAAGGUUGAGAACUGGUUGGUUUCACUACCAGGAACUCAGACACUGAGUGUUUUUUUCGGGGAAGAGAGACAGUGCUUUGUGUGAUAGUUUGUUUUGUGGUUACAAGAAUGAUUGUACCAACGGUCGUUCUUGUAGAAAGCUGUCGACGUCAAACGCUUUUUAGAGUUUAAAGAGCAUUUUUGUCACAUUACUGUUCAUUUAUUGACUCUUUCAUUUAAAUAUUGUAUGUUUUUCUGCAAGGUUACACUACGUAUGAUCUGAGAGGACUCUCAAAAUCAAAUUGCCAAGAUCAAGCUCUCUGAAUCUGAAUCCAGUUUCUUCUCACCUUCACAGGACUGCGGUGCAGAUUGCGCCAAAUUUCAGAAGAGUAUUUUAGAGUACAAAUUCAACAAGAGAGCCUUGGAGCGCCCGUACAAUUCGAAACACUCCUGGGGGGCAAGCUACGGUGAGCAUAAGCGCCACCUGGAGUUCAACAAAGAGCAGUACGAGGAACUGCAGAAAUAUGCAAAUGAGGUGGGGAUCUUCUUCACCGCUUCAGCGAUGGAUGAGGUGAGAAAAAAACCCAGUAAUUAACCUUUUGUUUUAAAAAAAAAAAGUUCAAUAUGAGUUCAAGUUUAAUCUCGGUUUAUUCUGUCUUUAGAUGGCGGUGGAGUUCCUGGAUGAUAUGAAUGUGCCGUUCAUCAAAGUGGGCUCUAAUGACACCAACAACUUCCCCUAUCUGGAGAAAACUGCCAAGACAGGUGCAAACUCUCAUAUCUGAUACGAUGUCUGGACUUAUGCUCUUAGUUGUAUGUUUCACCCUACCGAUCAGCUGUUCAUUGAGAAAAGCAGUAAGACGUUGGCGUUUUCCACUUUAAAUAUAACCAAAUACCGAUUUCAAGCCUUUGAUUGAGUCUUUAGUGAAUGUCGGCUUGUUUUGGAAAAUAAAACUCUCUUUAUGAGCUGUGUUGUGGAAAAUCCAGCAUAAACAAUGCACAGGAGACAGGAUGAGAUCUGAAGAACAGCCUGGGUGUCUUUUAUUGUACAGAUGUAGAAAUCAGUGCAGAUGACAAACAGAGUCUCGACCAAGAGCGAAGGAAGCCUCCCUAGCUUUUCUUCUACUCCCUUUUAUGCUCACAGGUGUGUGAGGGUGUGUCAUCAUGGGUAUGUCAUAUCAAUUCUCCAUGAUGACAUGUCGUACUGUUCUGACCUUCAACACUUUGUUUAGACUAGUCUUAACUCUCGCAGAGAUUAAAUGUUCCGACAGACAGAAAGUUUGGGCUCCUGCAAGACAGCCUUGCUUACAACCUCAGGGUCAUGAGGCUGCAUGAGCAGGCCAACCUAGAUUAUUUGUAGCUCCUUACUAAAAGAUAAUUACUCUAUAUUUCUUAACCUAAAUGUAUGAAGAGAUUCUCCUACACAGUCCCCCCUUUGAAAGUUCUUACUUUCAUAAAACCCUGAUCAUCAUAUCAAACACUAAACAUCCUUAAGUGAUUAAAAUAAAACAUGUUCACUGAAUUCUAAAUGCUGUGAGUGAUUUGCUGCAUCUAAGACUUAAUAAUAUAUGGCAUGAAACAAAAAUCAAAAUGCAUUAACCAGUUAUAUGAAUUGUGCAACCUUAUCAAAUCGUGAUAUAAUUCCCCCAAUUAUGCAAAAGUUAUAAAAUUGUGAUAUCAAUUCUCAAGAAAUGUAAUAAUCAAUGUUUAUUGGGUUGAAUUAUAUCUUACUUUGAUGUUCAAUUUCUUCACCAUCAUACCAUAGCAAGGAUCAUUUCAAAUUAUAUCAGCGCAUAAGACUUAAAACCCUGCCGGGCUGUUUCAGCAGGGAAAGAAUGUUACGGCCCCGCCCCCUGGCGACCAUUCAUUUCCUGGAUGCGCCGACAUAAUUUCAUUUGCAUAGAAAAAGUGUCAACUUCUGAUAAUACCAUUACAUUACAUUGUAGCAACCUGCGACAAACCCCUUGAUUAGUAUGUGAUUAACUCCAUGAUCAAUGUGUGAUUAGUGUAGUCCUUUAACUCUGCGAAUGAAACAUGUUCAGUUCAUUAUCCAUUCAUUCGCAGAGUUAAAGGACUACACUAAUCACACAUUGAUCAUGGAGUUAAUCACAUACUAAUUAUUUUUAUUCAACCCAAUGAACAUUGAUUAUUACAUUUCUUGAGAAUUAACAUCACAAUUUUAUAACUUUUGCAUAAUUGGGGGAAUUACAUCACGAUUUGAUAAGGUUGCAUUAUUCAUAUAACUGGUUAAUGCAUUUUGAUUUUUGUUUCAUGCCAUAUAUUAUUAAGUCUUAGAUGCAGCAAAUCACACACAUAGCAUUUAGAAUUCAGUGAACAUGUUUUAUUUUAAUCACUUAAGGAUGUUUAGUGUUUGAUAUGAUGAUCAGGGUUUUAUGAAAGUAAGAACUUUCAAAGGGGGGACUGUGUAGGGGAAUCUCUUCAUACAUUUAGGUUAAGAAAUAUAGAGUAAUUAUCUUUUAGUAAGGAGCUACAAAUAAUCUAGGUUGGCCUGCUCAUGCAGCCUCAUGACCCUGAGGUUGUAAGCAAGGCUGUCUUGCAGGAGCCCAAACUAUCUGUCUGUUGGAACAUUUAAUCUCUGCGAGAGUUAAGACUAGUCUAAACAAAGUGUUGAGGGUCAGAACAGUACGACAUGUCAUCAUGGGUAGCCCUCUGGAGAAUUGAUAUGACAUACCCAUGAUGACAGAACACACACACACACACACACACACACUCACACACCUGUGAGCAUAAAAGGGAGUAGAAGAAAAGCUAGGGAGGCUUCCUUCGCUCUUGGUCGAGACUCUGUUUGUCAUCUGUACUGAUUUCUACAUCUGUACAAUAAAAGACACCCAGGCUGUUCUUCAGAUCUCAUCCUGUCUCCAGUGCAUUGUUUAUGCUGGAUUUUCCACAACAGCUGUUCAAGAGUUGGUGUUAUUGUAAAAUCAGGUCUGUCAUGCAGUAUAUGUUCAGCUAAAUGAGUCUAUUAUUAACUACUGCAUUGCCCUGUUAAAGCUAGCUGUAAGUUAAUAUAGUCAUGGCUGGGUGAAGCUUGAAUCGGUUACUUUUUCACCUGCCGAAAAAUCUUACCUGUUUAUAUCUAUGUGGAAGCAUAAUCUAAUGGCGUAUUUUCACCUAUCAACACGCCCUACAAGCAUAGCUCUAUCUGGAAGCACAUUCUGACCUUCUGCAUAAAGGUCCUUACACACCGGGGCCGACACGCAUACAGAACGCGAAAUUACGAAAUAUUCAGAGGCGAAUUCUGACUAUACACAUCAAGCCCGACGGAAAAAAGAUGCGUCCCGGUGGAAGCGAGAAGACUGACACAACAGCAGACUUCGUGUUGAGUGUCUGUCUGUCAUGAUAGCAUGUACUGAGUCGGGGCCAGUACCAGAUAAGAACAUUAAACUAUAAUCCAUAAACGUAAGGGAACAACCGAGACCUAACGGUGCUGUGACAGCACUGCGAUUGAGUGAUCCGAAAAAAUAAAUGGCGCUAUAUCGCAGAACGGGAGAACGUUGCUGAUGUGAACGCUUGUAUUGACAGGAUACGGGUUCGAAAAAAAUUAUCGACGCCCGAAAUAAUCGCACGACAAAAAUCAUCCCGGUGUGAAAGGACCUUAAGUCUUCGUUUCAUUCAGAUCUACGAAUUCAGUCUGUGUUUUAGCGUCCUAUUUGCACGAACAAAGCCAUUAAAAUAAAAAAUAUAUAUGAAAACAAACGAAACAGGAAGUGCAUGGUAGGAUUUCCUGACGAGGUAGGACGGAAGUAGGACAACUCGGCUCAGACUUGCUUGGUUAGCUAAACCCAUGAUAUAAAAGAGUAACCUUUAAUGAGUAUUCAGAGAGAAAGAGGACAGCCCUGAUUUGAUGUUGUCCUGUCUUUUCUCAGGGCGGCCCAUGGUGGUGUCCAGCGGCAUGCAGUCGUUGGAGACGAUGCGCAAAGUUUACAAAACACUGAAGAAACACGACGUGAACUUUACCAUCCUGCAGUGCACCAGCUGUUACCCUCUGGCAGAUAAAGAUGUCCACCUCAGAGUGAUACCGGUGAGAAGACAGUAGCAGCCACUUCUUGAAUUUUAAAAAGAAAGCGUAUGGGGCACGCAGAGAGCCUAGCUGGUUAGCGUGCCGUGAUCCACCUCAGUUAGGUUUUUAAGUAAUGUUUCCUCAAAUAUAGCCGGAUUGUGUAAUAAUGUCAGGGUGCUAUCUUGUUAUCUUCUCAUUUUCUUCUUGGUCCCGUUUGCCUUGUCUCACCUCGCUGUGUCUCGUUCUUUGUCGUUGUUGUCUAUUGUCGGUGUGUUUCUUUUGGCCAUUUCUGUGGGAUUCUCAUGCAAUGUAUGUGCGUGGGUUGUGUGGUUGUGUCUUUGUUAGGUUUAGUUCUUUGUGUCAUCAGCUUUAUCUGUCCAAGACAAAUUUCCUUAAGGGGACAAUGAAGUGUAUCGUAUCGUAUUGUAUCACACUGUACUGUAUCGUAUCUUAAGAAAUGGCGUUUUUAGUAAAGCGUACGCCAUUAUAUCCUGGUAUGCAGAACUUAUUUUGUUUGACGUGGCCAUGCGAGCUGUGAACAUUCUCAAAGUUGACGUGACGGAUGAACCGGUCCUUCUGCAGCUCUGUUUGAAUUCCCGUCCAUGACACCCUAAAGGCAGCUUUGAUGGCACACCUUCUCCAUUUUCUCUCAAGAACAAAUCAAUGUAGAUCAGCGAUUUACUGGAUCCAGAGAGGAUGGAUGCAAUGCUCAGGUUAUGACAAGAGCGCCAUCUGCUGAAUCAAACGGCAAACUACUGUGGAUGGGCUUGAAUUUCAGAUAAAAAGUGAUACUGCUCUUGAAGUAAAGCCUCUGUUACAAACACCGACUCUUUUCCUUUUCCACUUGUUACUUGCAGGAAUACCAAAAGGAAUUUCCAGACAUUCCCAUCGGAUACUCCGGUCAUGAAACUGGGAUCGGUAUUUCAAUUGCAGCUGUAGCCAUGGGCGCAAAGGUCCUGGAGCGCCACUUCACCUUCGACAAAACAUGGAAAGGAAACGAUCACGCCGCCUCUCUGGAGCCCGCUGAGCUCACCGAGAUGAUUCGCUCCAUCCGGGCAGUAGAGCUGGCGCUGGGAUCCGGUUACAAGCAGAUAUGGCCAUGUGAGGAGCCAUUCCGCCGUAAGGUAAGCUAUCCUCCCACUGAAGACACCAAAAUCUAAGCUUUUGGGAUUUUAACAUCUCCCUCUUUACUCCUUAUCGUUUAGCUGGGUAAGUCAGUGGUCGCCAGAGUUAAAAUCCCCAAAGGAGAAACUCUGACUGAGAAGAUGCUGACGGUGAAGGUGGCCGAGCCUAUUGGCAUCCCAGCUGAGGAAAUCUACGAACUGCUUGGUAAGACUGUGCAGCAGGACAUCGAGCAGGACGAUAGCGUCUUACCUGAGAUGGUGGAAAACUACUCCAAGAAGGCCAAGCACUGAAGAAAACAGAGAGUCGAGGAAGGGGUGAAAAAGAAGGGCUUUUAAGUUGAAAGAAAUUUAAUGAAGUCUCAGGUGGUUGGUAACCUUUUUUUAUAGCUGCUUAUUUUUUUAGUCUAAGUGACUCAGCUGAAGUUGAAACAGAGAGCCAGUUUGCUCAAAUAUUUAUAUUCUCCAAAGACUCAGAUUUGUAAUUUUUCCAACAGAUGCCAGCUUCUCUUUUAAAUCCAUAUGCUGUAGUUUUUUUUUUACCUGCACUUAUGGAAACUAAUGUACACAGAGAAACAUAAAGCUGCUAGGGAUGGGUGAUAUAAAAGAUGAAACACAAAAUAUGAAGUGUUCAUCCAUCCCAGUGAAAUCGCAGGCUGUGCGUCCUCGUGUUUACUUCUCAGCAGUCAAGAGUUUACACCGGUGCAAAGGCAUCACGACUUCUUCGGUGCUCUGGCACCUACAGUAUCCUCUGAUCAUCACUACGGGUGAAUAAAUAUUAUUAUUAUUGGGGUCAUCCUGGAAUAUGAAGAAAUGUAACCUGUUGAACCAAAAUAUAAGAACCAAAUAAAAUAUUGUCUUAAGGUCUCC